UAAUAUUUUUAGAUGCAAAGAGUGGAGUUGACCUUGAGGUGGAAGAGAGAAGGUUAGCACUAUUGAGGAUGUGCACAGAAGUGAAUCGUGCUGGCCUCCACAGUUCAACGACGGCCUGGAGGGGAAUCAGUGAGAGGGCUGCACACAUUUGGAGCAUUUCCACCCUGACACAGUGCCUGGCUUCUACCUUGGCUGGUGCUGGCUACAACAACCUUUUCUGACCCUGUAAUGAGAUGUGGGUUCCUGGGUGUCAGGCAGGUGGAAAUGUACCCUAGCCUCUGGAGCAGGUGCCCAGCACAGCAAUACAGUGGGAAGCCCAGCCAGAUAUGGCUUAGGAGGGGCAUAGUGUGGUGUUUGUCCAGUCACUGAAACCAGAAGUCGUUGCCUAAAUAUACUGCCGAGAACUAUCUCUGAAGUCUGUUUGAGAACUAUGGAAGGCGGGAAAGUUAAGCUAUGUCUUUUCAAAUCCAACUCAAAGGGCACAAAGAGCUGCUUAGCCUCCUUGCCCAUGUGACAGCCCACUCUCCCUUUUUUCACAGACCCACGCAGGGGCCUCCGGGUCAAAGGCUGAAAAGAUAGUCUCAGUAAUACUUCAUCAAAUACUUUCUAGCCUUGUAGCGAAUUUUUCUUUGUGAAAUCUUGGAGGGUGGCUUGGAAUAUCUCCCAGA
Long non-coding RNA from Lemur catta (Ring-tailed lemur), 668 nucleotides. RefSeq lists it as uncharacterized. Lineage: Eukaryota; Metazoa; Chordata; Mammalia; Primates; Lemuridae. The record is from RefSeq and is a predicted model, not a curated record. The transcript has 3 exons.